RNAcentral lists this ribosomal RNA (301 nucleotides) under uncultured bacterium. RNAcentral describes it as "partial 16S ribosomal RNA". It matches the Rfam family "Bacterial small subunit ribosomal RNA", at positions 509 to 809 of the family's 1533-position model. The record is from RNAcentral.
CAGCAGCCGCGGUAAUACGGAGGGUGCAAGCGUUAAUCGGAAUUACUGGGCGUAAAGCGCACGCAGGCGGUCUGACAAGUCAGAUGUGAAAUCCCCGGGCUUAACCUGGGAACUGCAUUUGAAACUGUCAGGCUGGAGUCUUGUAGAGGGGGGUGGAAUUCCAGGUGUAGCGGUGAAAUGCGUAGAGAUCUGGAGGAAUACCGGUGGCGAAGGCGGCCCCCUGGACAAAGACUGACGCUCAGGUGCGAAAGCGUGGGGAGCAAACAGGAUUAGAUACCCGCGUAGUCCCUGUCUCUUAUAU